Molecule: ribosomal RNA, 50 nt
Filed under: Talaromyces purpureogenus
Lineage: Eukaryota; Fungi; Ascomycota; Eurotiomycetes; Eurotiales; Trichocomaceae
Description: partial 28S ribosomal RNA
Source: RNAcentral
UGACCUCGGAUCAGGUAGAAGUUACCCGCUGAACUUAAGCAUAUAAAAAA